Molecule: ribosomal RNA, 493 nt
Filed under: uncultured bacterium
Lineage: Bacteria
Description: partial 16S ribosomal RNA
Rfam family: Bacterial small subunit ribosomal RNA
Source: RNAcentral
ACGAACGCUGGCGGCGUGCUUAACACAUGCAAGUCGAACGGAAAGGCCUGCUUUCCCUUGUGGAUUGCGGGUACUCGAGUGGCGAACGGGUGAGUAACACGUGAGUGAUCUGCCCCCAACUUGGGUAUAAGCCUGGGAAACUGGGUCUAAUUCCCGAUAGGACUGCAGGGGGGUGCCUGUGGUGGAAAACGAUUUUCUAGUGGUUGGGGAUGAGCUGGCGGCCUAUCAGCUUGUUGGUGGGGUAAUGGCCUACCAAGGCGGCGACGGGUAGCCGGCCUGAGAGGGUGUACGUGAUCAUUGGGACUGAGAUACGGCCCUGACCCCGACGGGAGGCAGCAGUGGGGAAGAUUGCACGAUGGGCGGAAGCUUGAUGCAGCGACGCCGCGUGGGGGAUGACGGCCUUCGUGUUGUAAACUCCUUUCGACCGCGAGGAAGCCACCUGGUUGGAAGGGUGGUGACGGUAGUGGUAGAAGAAGCACCGGCUAACUACGUG